AUGCCUUUGUCUAGACAGGGCAGUAAACGGAGCCCCAGGCCUGGGGCUGUGGAGGGGGUGAGGGACUGGCUGGGAGUGAGCCUGCCAGUGACUUUGGGGUGGGUGCGGGCGUGCGGGCCUCCAUCGUCACCCAGGUGUGCGCAGGCCCAGGUGUGGGGACUCCGACAGCACGGCAAUGACGACCAGUGCCAGGUGUGUGACAGAGGUGCAGGGGCCUGUGGAAGCGCGACGGGCCUUGGUGGACGGGCUUCUCGAGAUUCGAGGGGCGCCACAGGCAGCGCCCUGGCGCACAGGAGCAGAGUAGGGUGGCUGUGCCGGGGCAGAUGGUGGGGGACAACACCUCACCAAGGCAAUGCGGAGCCAUGGGGAGCAGGGCAGGCCGUGGCCACGCGCCCAGGAUGGUGGACAGGAGGGGAGACCGAGCCUGCCAGUGCAGGGAGGAGGGGCGUGGGGGCUGCCAGGCAGGCGCGGGGAGGCUCGGAGAGGCUUGUGGGACGGAUGCAUCGGGACCUGGGUGACUCUCGGUCCGGGAUCAGAAAGCCUGGGAGGGCCGGGGCCUCCUUGGGCACUCCGAGAGCGAAGGGGCAGGCCCGCCUCCCUGCCCAGCGCGGCGUCAGGGAGAGGGUACGCCCGGAACUCCGCGGAAACGGCCUGGGGCCAGCAGCGCGGGCGUGGGGUCCGGGCCGCCGGAGCCAGGAGGGACGGCGGCGCGGGCCCAGCAGUGACAAAACCCCCCGGGCUCCGGGAACGCGCGCGGCGGGCAGAAAACGCGUCCGUUCCGUUUCCUUCCUGGCGGCGGGAACGAGGCCCGGGUGCUCUGGCGCGGCAGCAGCGCCCCCUGGAGGCCUCGCUGCGGUUCGCGGCCGCCGGUUCGCGCAUGGGCGCAGGCGUAUGCGAUGCCUCGGGGCCCCGGCUCGGAGACCGCGCUGGGUGGGAAGCACGCGGGGCUGGGGGAUGUUGGCGGAGACCGCCCCAGCCCGCCCUCUGAUCUUGUCUCCUCCGGUCUCCCCAGGUUCCGAGCUCGCCAGGCCGCGUCGCGCCAUGCCCGCCGGCUGA
RNAcentral lists this long non-coding RNA (1056 nucleotides) under Papio anubis (olive baboon). Its description in RNAcentral is "lncRNA (ENSPANG00000045153.1)". The record is from RNAcentral. Lineage: Eukaryota; Metazoa; Chordata; Mammalia; Primates; Cercopithecidae.